GAUGAACGCUGGCGGCGUGCUUAACACAUGCAAGUCGAGCGGACGGACGAGAAUCUUGUGUCUCUGAUGUUAGCGGCGCACGGGAGAGUAACAUGUGGAUAACCUCCCUAUCAGACUGGGACAACUACGGGAAACCGGAGCUAAUACCGGAUAAUAUUUUGCACCCCAUGGUUCAAAAGUGAAUGACGGUCUUGCUGUUACUUAUAGAUGGUUCCGCGCUGCAUUAGCUGGUGGGUAAGGUAACGGCUUUCCAAGGCAAGGAGGCAUAGCCGACCAAGGAGAGUGAUCGGCGACACUGGAAGUGAAACACGAGCCAGACUCCUACGGGAGGCAGCAGUAGGGAACCUUGGGCAACAGGCGAGAGCCUGACGGAGCAACGCGGCGAGAGUGGAGAAGGCAUUGGGAUCGUGAAGCACUGUUAUUAGGGGAGAACAUCUGUGUAAGCAGCUGUAGACGUAUUGACGGUACCUGGUCAAAAAGCCACGGCUAACUACGUG
Molecule: ribosomal RNA, 497 nt
Filed under: uncultured bacterium
Lineage: Bacteria
Description: partial 16S ribosomal RNA
Rfam family: Bacterial small subunit ribosomal RNA
Source: RNAcentral